Molecule: non-coding RNA, 600 nt
Organism: Camellia sinensis
Lineage: Eukaryota; Viridiplantae; Streptophyta; Magnoliopsida; Ericales; Theaceae
Source: RefSeq, a predicted model, not a curated record
CUGUCUUGCCCCUAUUUUUUCAUUUCAUGUUUUUGUAGUCCUAGUUCUUCGUUCGACCUCUCUCUCUCUCUCUUGAACGGCAAUGAACGACGAUCGACGAUCGGCGACAGUGGCAGUGAGCGACGAUCGACAAUCGGCGACAGUGUCGUUGAGCAGUGAUCGAAGCCUAAAUUCGAAGUGCCAGUCUCUGACUCUGAAUUUCCACGAUUCUUUAGUUAUUGGGCAUAGGGCGCACAACUAAAUUAUUGAAUCCAUGGGGCCUUCUUGAGGAGAGGUGAUUGCAGAAUGUGGGUCCGAGGUAAAUUUUAUAUACACUUGCUAUUUAAUUAGAUUUACAGGUUUUUGAUUUCUGGGGUUUGGUGGAUUUCUAUAUUUUAUAUACAGUUUGACUGGGAGUAAGAAUGAUUUAUUUUACAUAUUUAUGUGUGAGGUGUUGGUUAGAAUUUUUUUAGUUCUGUAAUGGAGUUGAAAACAGGGAAUUAAACUUUCUAUAUUUUUUUUAUGCAAGUGUUUUUUGUAUUACAGAUGAUGAGUGUAAUGGAGUUGAAAACAAGGGACUAAACUUCCUAUAUUUUCUUUAUGCAAGUGUUUUUUAUAUUA